GGGGGUAUAGUGUAAUUGGCUAACAUCUUUGUCUCCAAAACAAAGGACUCCAGGUUCGAACCCUGGUACCCCCGCCA
This 77-nucleotide transfer RNA is filed under the name Patescibacteria group bacterium. RNAcentral's name for it is "tRNA-Trp". It matches the Rfam family "tRNA". From Rfam's summary of the family: Transfer RNA (tRNA) molecules are approximately 80 nucleotides in length. Their secondary structure includes four short double-helical elements and three loops (D, anti-codon, and T loops). The record is from RNAcentral.